Molecule: ribosomal RNA, 587 nt
Filed under: uncultured bacterium
Lineage: Bacteria
Description: partial 16S ribosomal RNA
Rfam family: Bacterial small subunit ribosomal RNA
Source: RNAcentral
UGGGGAAUUUUGGACAAUGGGCGAAAGCCUGAUCCAGCAAUGCCGCGUGUGUGAAGAAGGCCUUCGGGUUGUAAAGCACUUUUGUCCGGAAAGAAAUCCUUGGCUCUAAUACAGUCGGGGGAUGACGGUACCGGAAGAAUAAGCACCGGCUAACUACGUGCCAGCAGCCGCGGUAAUACGUAGGGUGCAAGCGUUAAUCGGAAUUACUGGGCGUAAAGCGUGCGCAGGUGGUUUGCUAAGACCGAUGUGAAAUCCCCGGGCUCAACCUGGGAACUGCAUUGGUGACUGGCAGGCUAGAGUAUGGCAGAGGGGGGUAGAAUUCCACGUGUAGCAGUGAAAUGCGUAGAGAUGUGGAGGAAUACCGAUGGCGAAGGCAGCCCCCUGGGCCAAUACUGACGCUCAUGCACGAAAGCGUGGGGGAGCAAAACAGGAUUAGAUACCCUGGUAGUCCACGCCCUAAACGAUGUCAACUAGUUGUUGGGGAUUCAUUUCCUUAGUAACGUAGCUAACGCGUGAAGUUGACCGCCUGGGGAGUACGGUCGCAAGAUUAAAACUCAAAUGAAUUGACGGGGUCAUAGCUGUUUCCU